Ochotona curzoniae (black-lipped pika) is the source of this 107-nucleotide small nuclear RNA. The record is from RefSeq and is a predicted model, not a curated record. NCBI's taxonomy places the organism in Eukaryota, Metazoa, Chordata, Mammalia, Lagomorpha, Ochotonidae.
GUGCUUGCUUCAGCAGGACAUAUACUACAAUUGGAAUGACACAGAAAAGAUGAACAUGGACCCUGUGCAAGGCUGACAUGCAAGUUCAUGAAGCGUUUCAUGUUAAA